UAUUACCUACGGGGCGCAGCAGUGGAGAAUAUUGGACAAUGGGGGGAACCCUGAUGCAGCGACGCCGCGUGAGUGAAGAAGUAUUUCGGUAUGUAAAGCUCUAUCAGCAGGGAAGAAAAUGACGGUACCUGACUAAGAAGCCCCGGCUAACUACGUGCCAGCAGCCGCGGUAAUACGUAGGGGGCAAGCGUUAUCCGAAUUUACUGGGUGUAAAGGGAGCGUAGACGGUGAUGCAAGUCAGAAGUGAAAGCCCGCGGCUCAACUGCGGGACUGCUUUGGAAACUGUAUGACUGGAGUGCAGGAGG
This 305-nucleotide ribosomal RNA is filed under the name uncultured bacterium. RNAcentral describes it as "bacterial SSU rRNA". It matches the Rfam family "Bacterial small subunit ribosomal RNA", at positions 333 to 655 of the family's 1533-position model. The record is from RNAcentral.